GCUCCGCAGGCCGCGAAAGAGAGCCCGUUACCUGGACCCCUACUCGCGCGGGUAGAGCGAAACUGAGCACCCUGGGAUGCGAGCAGCUUUUUAGUACUCCCGGGUCCAAAAUCUCACCACCAGGCCGGGAUGAUCAAAACGUCUGCCGGGUCUGCAGCCUACAAACGUGGAUCUGCCGACACUGUGCUGUCGACGACAUGUCCGGCAAGGCACCUCCUUGCGUGAAAGCAAGGAACGCUUUUUUUUUUUAGAAAGGAAGCUUCUUCUCCAAAAUUUAAAAUUUUUGAAAAUUAUUCCUUCUGAAAAUAUCAUCGUUCGUAUUUGCUCCACGCUAUCAGACUUCCGCUCAUCUAUACAAAAACAUAUAGGGUACCCCGUAAGAAGGCCUUAGGCCUGUGGGAAUUCCCUAUUAAAAAUUUAAUAAAUAAUAAUAAUAAUAAUCGCGUUCUUGACCUCGAAGCUGACUGCUGAAUGCGAUUAGGAAAGAAGAUUCCUGAAGAUACACCAGACUGAUUCUGGCAAGCCGUCUGUCGUCUAGAUAUGCAGUUGUUCGUCAUGCAUGGUCAGCAAUCUUCCUCGUUCGUCCUUUCGUUUUCCUGACCACGAUGAUGACAAGCAGCUCUCAUGCUCAGGAUUGCCAUCUGUUGAUGAAUACCACUCUGAGGCACUCUCACGAGCGAAGGUGUUUGAAAAUCCAUGUCGGAAUGAUGGUCAUGUUGGCCUAAAGGUGCAUUACAUUGCCGAUACUCGCCACCUCCACCCUGGAACAUGUUCAAUUUCUGUUUCUCGUAUGGAAGGACCGAACAGGUUGUUUUCCUGUCUCAGUGGACCACUCAAGACUGAACAGCACUGAUGGAAGAAGAUUUGCCGUGAAUCUCGUUCACAUAAUCAGCCUGUUUAAUUGCUGUACUGAGGUGACUGCUUCAUAACAAUGACCAUGCAGCAUUAAUUUUGGAUAGUAUUGCAGUGCCCCUAAAAUUGGAGAAUAUCGAAUUUCUCUGAUAGCAUUGUGAUUCAUUUGUGAAUAAACAUCACUACUCUUUUUGAGUAGCAUAGCAAUGACAGAGUUGGUUUAAUGUAUGACAAAAUGGAGCCGCUUUUUAA
Sycon ciliatum is the source of this 1104-nucleotide long non-coding RNA. RefSeq lists it as uncharacterized. The record is from RefSeq and is a predicted model, not a curated record. NCBI's taxonomy places the organism in Eukaryota, Metazoa, Porifera, Calcarea, Leucosolenida, Sycettidae. The transcript has 2 exons.